Molecule: long non-coding RNA, 311 nt
Organism: Balaenoptera ricei (Rice's whale)
Lineage: Eukaryota; Metazoa; Chordata; Mammalia; Artiodactyla; Balaenopteridae
Exons: 3
Source: RefSeq, a predicted model, not a curated record
AAGGAGGGUGCGGGGCACCUGGAGGGAGCAGCGCGGGGCCCGAGCUCCCACGCCUGAAGUCCCGAGGGAUCGGGGACCGAGGGCGCAAUCCUCACCGUUCCACGUUUCCUCUUCCUCAAGUGCCGUUCAGGACCCUGGGCUGAGACUAAGAAUGCAGAAAUGAACAGGCUCGUGUGGUUCCUGGGCUCCAGCAGUAGAGGAACUCUUGUGGUGGGCAGGGUGACAACGAAUUCUUCUGUGGGGGAAAUGAAGCAUUCACAUGGGGAAGAUGAAUCCUUAAUCACAGCAGAAUGAUGAUCUGUGACUCCCUC